This 70-nucleotide transfer RNA is filed under the name Paraglypturus tonganus (nomen nudum). RNAcentral's name for it is "tRNA-Val". It matches the Rfam family "tRNA". From Rfam's summary of the family: Transfer RNA (tRNA) molecules are approximately 80 nucleotides in length. Lineage: Eukaryota; Metazoa; Arthropoda; Malacostraca; Decapoda; Callianassidae. The record is from RNAcentral.
GGUUCUUUAGUAUAUUUCGUUAGUACGUUUGAUUUACAAUCAGAUAGAUCAUUUUCUUUUGAAAGAAUUA